This 172-nucleotide ribosomal RNA is filed under the name uncultured rumen bacterium. Its description in RNAcentral is "partial 16S ribosomal RNA". It matches the Rfam family "Bacterial small subunit ribosomal RNA", at positions 340 to 524 of the family's 1533-position model. The record is from RNAcentral.
UACGGCGCAGGCAGCAGUGGGGAAUAUUGGGCAAUGGGCGAAAGCCUGACCCAGCGACGCCGCGUGAGGGAAGAAGGUCUUCGGAUUGUAAACCUCUUUCAGCAAGGAAGAAGGAAGUGACGGUACUUGCAGAAGAAGCCACGGCUAACUACGUGCCAGCAGCCGCGGUAAU